This 507-nucleotide ribosomal RNA is filed under the name uncultured bacterium. RNAcentral describes it as "bacterial SSU rRNA". It matches the Rfam family "Bacterial small subunit ribosomal RNA", at positions 40 to 507 of the family's 1533-position model. The record is from RNAcentral.
CGGCGUGCCUAACACAUGCAAGUCGAACGCACUCUCGUUUAGAUUGAAGGAGCUUGCUCCUGAUUGAUAAGCAUUUGAGUGAGUGGCGGACGGGUGAGUAACACGUGGGUAACCUGCCCUAAAGUGGGGGAUAACAUUUGGAAACAGAUGCUAAUACCGCAUAAAACCUAGCACCGCAUGGUGCAGGGUUGAAAGGUGGUUUCGGCUAUCACUUUAGGAUGGACCCGCGGUGCAUUAGUUAGUUGGUGAGGUAAAGGCUCACCAAGACCGUGAUGCAUAGCCGACCUGAGAGGGUAAUCGGCCACACUGGGACUGAGACACGGCCCAGACUCCUACGGGAGGCAGCAGUAGGGAAUCUUCCACAAUGGACGAAAGUCUGAUGGAGCAACGCCGCGUGAGUGAAGAAGGUUUUCGGAUCGUAAACUCUGUUGUUGGAGAAGAAUGUAUCUGAUAGUAACUGAUCAGGUAGUGACGGUAUCCAACCAGAAAGCCACGGCUAACUACGUG